Sinocyclocheilus anshuiensis is the source of this 72-nucleotide non-coding RNA. The record is from the annotation of a RefSeq genome assembly. Lineage: Eukaryota; Metazoa; Chordata; Actinopteri; Cypriniformes; Cyprinidae.
GACCUCGUGGCGCAAUGGUAGCGCGUUUGACUCCAGAUCAGAAGGUUGUGUGUUCAAAUCACGUCGGGGUCA